UAUAUUUAGAGUAAAUAUAUUUUUUCACUCUAUUAUAAAGUAAAAAAUAUAGUUCUAUUGAAACAAUUUUACUCUAAACUUUUUUUUUUUGAACAAACUCUAAACUCUAUUUUAAAAUAAAAAUAUACGGAUUUAGAGAUGCCUUUAUUGAUUCACUAAGUCCUUCUUCUACGCUUUUUGUAUUUAAGAAUAAGUUAAAUUAAAAUAUAGACUAGAAUAUUAAAAUAGGUUGUAGAAUCUAUUAACAAAAACAAAGCUAAAAAUUUACUUUUCUUGAUAUAUUUGAAAACCUAAAAUCAGAAUUUUCAAAUCCCUCUCUCAAAUUGAGAGGAGCAGUAUUUUCAAUGAUCAUAAAAGAAAUUUGUCAGUUUUUAUUCGAAAAUUGGAACAAAAUUUACUUUUUAGUAUUUAUUUCAUGGAAAAUGUAUUAACUGACAAGAUAUUUCAUCAUAACUUUGCUUGGAAAAUUUCCAUGUUCGAUCUUUUCUUCCUUUAAAUAUUAUAAAAGAAGAAAUAAAUAAAUAAAAUUUUCCUUUUAAAAGAUAAAAUAAAAAGACUUUUCCCUUUUAUUAAACAGAAAAAGGCCGCUUGAAGUUUCAAAUUAAAUGAUGAAUGUGUCUGUCUAAAUUCAAAAACCGUUUUUGUCAUCUUCCUCUCAGUUCUCAGAUGAUGAAAGUUUCAGACUCGAAUUCCCCGACAGGAGUUCUCGAAGAGUUCUUCAGAACCGAAGAAUUCGAAAGCUCCCAGACUACAACAACCAAUAAGAACCCUUCCUCCUCCUCCUCCCGUUUCCGCAGGGUUGUUCAUCUUCUAAGAAGCACGUCCAAAAAAUCGCUAGAGAAUCUGAAGGUCCCGUUUCAGUACAACAAUGCCGUUACAAGCUCAUUGAGAAGAUGCAGUAGCUUGAGAGACAGUCUCAGAUUUGGCUCCUCCAGUGAUUCUCCCGUUCUUGCACACUCUCCUCGAAGAAUCUUUUCUUUUUCUGAUCUCAAAAUUGCCACCAACAAUUUCGCUCCAGAUAAUCUAAUUGGAAAAGGAGGUUAUGCUGAAGUUUACAAGGGGAAGUUUUCAAAUGGACAAAUGGUAGCCAUAAAACGGCUUAUGCGUGGAAACAGCGAAGAGAUCAUUGUAGAUUUUCUAUCAGAGAUGGGUAUAAUGGCACAUGUUAACCAUCCAAAUAUAGCGAAGCUUUUAGGCUAUGGUGUCGAAGGAGGAAUGCACCUUGUUCUUGAGUUGUCACCUCAUGGGAGCUUAGCUUCUAUGCUUUAUAGCUCAAAGGAGAAGAUGAAAUGGAGCAUCAGGUACAAAAUAGCUUUGGGAGUUGCAGAGGGCUUGGUGUAUCUUCACAGUGGAUGUCACAGGAGAAUUAUUCACAGAGAUAUCAAAGCCGCAAACAUUCUUCUCACGCAUGAUUUUUUGCCUCAGAUAUGCGACUUUGGGCUUGCGAAGUGGCUACCUGAACAUUGGACACACCAUAUAGUUUCCAAAUUUGAGGGCACAUUUGGAUAUCUUGCUCCUGAGUACUUAACACAUGGGAUAGUAGAUGAAAAGACUGAUGUAUUCGCCUUGGGUGUACUUUUACUAGAACUUGUUACUGGACGACGAGCUCUUGACUACUCCAAGCAAAGUCUUGUUCUAUGGGCUAAACCAUUGAUGAAGAAGAACAAAAUUAGAGAGCUAAUUGAUCCAUCUUUAGCGGGCGAAUAUGAAUGGACCCAGAUUAAGCUUGUGCUUUUGGCUGCUUCGUUAUCAAUCCAAGAGUCAUCUUUAGAGAGGCCUGGGAUGAGUCAGGUCGUUGAGAUCCUCAAAGGCAACUUGAACGAUCUCAAGUGCAUCAUGAAAUGCAGAGUUCCCUUUUAUCGAAAAGCUUUUAGAGAUGAGAAUCAUGUCAAGAAAUAUUGAGAAAAUUAGAUCUUGAAGAAAGGAAAUAGAUGAAACUCAACAAAGGGAAAAGAAGAGAUAUAGAUGGCUUACAUCAUUUUUGAAUAAAAAUUCGUUAUGCAUCACUUGUCAACAAGAUAUUAAUGGAAAUGGCGUCACAUGGUGCUGGACGGGACCUGACGUAUUGCAGGCAUUCUGAUAAUCUGUUUCAAAAUUGGACACUUUUUUCCUUAUAAUUUGUGUGUGCGUGAAAUCAGCACAAGUGUCACAUAUGUGUUUUUAACACUUUUAGUUUAUUAAACAAACUUCUUGGGAUGAACACAAGUUGGAUACUUUUCAUUUUUUGGUAUAUUUGAUAUUUGAUUUGUCUUGUAAGAAUAAUAUAAAUUCAUACUUGUAUUUGACUUACUAAAAAUGAGUAUU
Brassica napus (rape) is the source of this 2304-nucleotide RNA transcript. It is a transcript of the gene named receptor-like cytosolic serine/threonine-protein kinase RBK2, with no coding region annotated. The record is from RefSeq and is a predicted model, not a curated record. Lineage: Eukaryota; Viridiplantae; Streptophyta; Magnoliopsida; Brassicales; Brassicaceae. The transcript is spliced from 8 exons.